ACCCUGCGAUAAAGGCUGUACCUUAGGACUUUGGAAAUACAGGAUUUAGGCACCUGCUGUCCCAGACUGUGCCUGACUAUCAACAAGCAGCUUGGCCACGAUGCACAGAUCCCAGAGGUUUCACACAGCAGAUCACCCUGCUGCCCUUUGCAACAAGCUCCCAUCACUGCGCUGAGCACUGGCCACCUACAAGAUCUGGACAAUUCCCCCUGUCAGACAGGGAUGCUCAGUGUGUCCCACUGAUGCUGCCAGGGUGGUGUUGGGGUAAGAAAACUGUAGAGUGACCCAGGAUGGACUGGCAGACUGCAGACACAGAGGGACAUCUGUCCUUUCAGCAGGCUUGCCCUUGGACUGCAUGAGCCUUCUACCGCUGAAGGCUCCAAAUCACCUUCGGAGAUGGGAAAAUGAAGAUGCAACAAGGCUGCAAAAGGGAGUGCCUGGCAUUAACCAUCUCCCUGCAACAGGCAUCCAGAGAACAAGAGAAGUGGGGGAAAAAAUGGAGAAUUUGGGUCACCAAACUAGGUCCCCUGAGACUGCAGGCAACCAGGUAGUGAUGCUUGUUACACAGGGGCCACAAAAGCCACAGAUAACACUGCAGCACCAAGAACAAACUUCAGACUUAUUCUAAGAGCCACAGCCGUGAUGUGCCACAAGGAGAAU
Manacus vitellinus (golden-collared manakin) is the source of this 660-nucleotide long non-coding RNA. RefSeq lists it as uncharacterized. Lineage: Eukaryota; Metazoa; Chordata; Aves; Passeriformes; Pipridae. The transcript is spliced from 3 exons. The record is from RefSeq and is a predicted model, not a curated record.